CCUGAUCCAGCCAUACCGCGUGGGUGAAGAAGGCCUUCGGGUUGUAAAGCCCUUUUAGUUGGGAAAGAAAAGCAGCCGGUUAAUACCCGGUUGUUCUGACGGUACCCAAAGAAUAAGCACCGGCUAACUUCGUGCCAGCAGCCGCGGUAAUACGAAGGGUGCAAGCGUUACUCGGAAUUACUGGGCGUAAAGCGUGCGUAGGUGGUUGUUUAAGUCUGUCGUGAAAGCCCUGGGCUCAACCUGGGAAUUGCGAUGGAAACUGGGCGACUAGAGUGUGGCAGAGGGUAGUGGAAUUCCUGGUGUAGCAGUGAAAUGCGUAGAGAUCAGGAGGAACAUCCGUGGCGAAGGCGACUGCCUGGGCCAACACUGACACUGAGGCACGAAAGCGUGGGGAGCAAACAGGAUUAGAUACCCUGGUAGUCCACGCCCUAAACGAUGCGAACUGGAUGUUGGGUGCACUUAGGCACGCAGUAUCGAAGCUAACGCGUUAAGUUCGCCGCCUGGGGAGUACGGUCGCAAGACUGAAACUCAAAGGAAUUGACGGGGG
Molecule: ribosomal RNA, 547 nt
Filed under: uncultured bacterium
Lineage: Bacteria
Description: bacterial SSU rRNA
Rfam family: Bacterial small subunit ribosomal RNA
Source: RNAcentral